Molecule: transfer RNA, 77 nt
Filed under: Candidatus Saccharimonadota bacterium
Lineage: Bacteria; Candidatus Saccharimonadota
Also listed under: 2 other names
Description: tRNA-Arg
Rfam family: tRNA
About the family: Transfer RNA (tRNA) molecules are approximately 80 nucleotides in length. Their secondary structure includes four short double-helical elements and three loops (D, anti-codon, and T loops).
Source: RNAcentral
GCGCCCGUAGCUCAGCUGGAUAGAGCAUCUGUCUUCGGAACAGAGGGUCGGCGGUUCGAAUCCGUCCGGGCGUACCA